AUGCAGUCGAACGCGAAAGGCUCCUUCGGGGGCCGAGUAGAGUGGCGCACGGNCUGUGUAACACGUAGGUAAUUUGCCUUUGGGUGGGGAAUAACUCAGGGAAACUUGAGCUAAUACCGCAUAAUGCAGCGGCUCGACAUCGAGACAGUUGUUAAAGCGGGGGAUUGGAGCAAUCCGACCUCGCGCCUAAAGAGAAGCCUGCGGCAGAUUAGCUAGUUGGUAAGGUAAUGGCUUACCAAGGCGACGAUCUGUAACCGGCCUGAGAGGGCGGUCGGUCACACUGACACUGACAUACGGGUCAGACUCCUACGGGAGGCAGCAGUCGGGAAUUUUGGGCAAUGGGCGAAAGCCUGACCCAGCAACGCCGCGUGAAGGAUGAAAUUUUUCGGAAUGUAAACUUCGCAAGAACAGGAAGAAUAAGUAGGGGACAAUACCCCCUAUGAUGACGGUACUGUUUGUAAGCUCCGGCUAACUCCGUGCCAGCAGCCGCGGUAAUACGGGGGGAGCAAGCGUUGUUCGGAUUUACUGGGCGUAAAGGGCGCGUAGGCGGCGUGACAAGUCACUUGUGAAAUCUCCGGGCUUAACUCGGAACGGUCAAGUGAUACUGUCGUGCUAGAGUACAGAAGGGGCAACUGGAAUUCUCGGUGUAGCGGUGAAAUGCGUAGAUAUCGAGAGGAACACCUGCGGCGAAGGCGGGUUGCUGGGCUGAUACUGACGCUGANGCGCGAAAGCCAGGGGAGCGAACGGGAUU
RNAcentral lists this ribosomal RNA (751 nucleotides) under uncultured bacterium. RNAcentral describes it as "bacterial SSU rRNA". It matches the Rfam family "Bacterial small subunit ribosomal RNA", at positions 55 to 779 of the family's 1533-position model. The record is from RNAcentral.